UGAAUAUCAGUGUGUGCAAGUAUGUGUGUGCGCGACGUCUCGAAAACAGAUGAAUGUAAACAGUACAGUCGGUUAACAGUCGAAUAUGGAAGAAAGUAACAGACUGGUAUGGAAGAAGGAAUUCCAUUGGGCGAUUUAACAAAACAAUGGAGAAGAAUCGUUAGAAUAAUCAUCGCUGCUCAAAGCAAAGGCAUUUCUCGCGAAGAAAAUGUGCAGUUCCAGGGGUGAGACAGAUCCUUGAACACGGUUCAAAGCAGAAUUGCCGAAGCAGAAGAAUCAACGGGAGGAAGUUUUCAUCGACGAAGGGAAACGGAAGGAAAUGUGGCUGUUAGUUGUUCCGGCCGAAACGGGAUGCAUCGAAGAGUGGCCGCGGCAACGGUGCGAGAAUCGGGGAAGAACGAGAAGUAAGAAGUAGAGCCAACCCAAAGGGAAAAGGACGAAAAAACGGAGAGAAAGAGAGAGAGAGAGAUGGCAUAGAGAAGCCAGCGGAAGGCGGAAAACAAGGGAAAAUAAAGCAGCGGAAGAAUCGCGUCGCAGGAAAAAGAAUGAGGGCGCUGUCAGCUGGUGGAAAUUAUUCUGAUUAUGCUAAUUCCGGUUCUGUUCCACUCCUUUACCCAGCCGUUCCCCAGACCCAUUGCCUCCCUGCUGCUGUCUGCGCCAUCUUUCAUGGCUGAUAUUUAUAAUAUAGGGGUGCCCGAGCAGUUUCAAACUCUUUUUGGCCCCCGAGCUCGCAACCCCCCUCCCCACCCUCGACCAUCAUUUGGCCCUCCAUCGAGAACCACCCCACGGCACGCUCCACUGUCUUCGGGCUUUUCGAUAAAUUUAUUCAUAUUCCAAGGAAAAUUUCGUCGCUAGUCUCGAGAGAACUCGGUCAACUAGAGCCUCUGGUCCCGCAGCACGCGAGCUUAGCCGCGAUUUACCUUUGAAAAUCUAACCGCGACCACUUUCUUAGCCCACCAUCCUGAAAACACAGCCAUUAUCUAUGAAAGAGGAGAUUUUUGCAUAGUUCGUAAUAGCGUAAUGGUGUAUUUUCUUUUUCUAGGUUAGGUUUUCUAGGUUAUCUCGUUGCUCGAAAUUGAGAAGAGUGGGGAUGGAUUUGGAAAUGAAAGAGCGAGACACAUAGCCGCAGCGCUUAGCGUGCACGUUCGUAAUCUUCCUCUCAAGGUCGUAAGUUUUCCUUUUUAAUUAAAGGUGCUUUCUAUUCAUGUCCGGAGACUGGCACGCCCACGGUUAAACCUACGCUACGUUAUUUUACGCUUCGUGGAAAAUCUUCCUUUCCUCUGAUAUUGUCGUUCGAUCGUUUUGUUUGCUCCGCUAUAAUUUACAGCAUAAAAUUCAUAGACGACAGAUUGAAAGAAUCUGACACCGAAUCGAUCGGGACGGCAAGGCAUUAUGGACAGUUUAAAGGGACGAUCGUCAAACACUCGUGGUCUGUCGUCUUUGCAAACAUGAAUAAAAUACACACGUACAACGAUGAUUAAAUAGCCUUGUGUUUGCUCGGGGAAUAAGCGCAUCUAUCUCGCUUUACCCUCUGUUAACUCUUCGAUAAAAAGUGACACAGUCAUAUUUGAUUUCUUAUUACACCUCCCACAAGCCAGUCAAUACGGUUUUCACAUAAAACCAAUAAGGAGGAUUUGCUUGCUCGAAGAAGGAUGUUAAUGUGAUCUUAAAAUAUUUUCUAUUUUUCCCUUUUUUUUAUUUUAGUUCAUAUACAGACUACGGAUGUUUAGGUAAAUUCAUAUUUUUAUAAGAAACUUUAUUUCAUACGUUAAAUGCAUAAUGUUAUAACUAUUGUACAAUAAAUACUAUAUUUUGUACGUUUUUCAGCAAUAUAUGCAGUGGCACAUGCAUCACAGGACGUUUCAAUACGAAGAUGCCUGACAUGGUUGUUUUGCCACAGAGGAUUAACACUGUACGGCGCGCAUAAUGUAAUAAACAAACUCUGGACAAAGCAAUUUCGCUGUUACGUGCAAUCUACAACCGGCGACAACUUCAAAUCUCCCGGUGCCUCCCCUUCGCCAACAUAAAUAGACGACCGUGUUCUCCAGACACAGUCAGUCAGUCGAGCGAAUAAAUAUGAAAAAUCAGUGUAGCAAAUCAGCAUAACAAUUAGUAUGAGUAGCGCAGUAUCAAGCGAGCAACGAUUGCAAUUAACUUGGUAUUCUACAUUUUAAAAUAUCUGCAAAUAUAGUUAAUUAAAUUAACUAUAUUAAUAAUUAACUAUAUUAAUUACUAGUUAAUUAAAUUAACUAUAUUUGCAGACUGGUUGUUGAUUUAAUCAACAACACGUCACACCGUCCACCAGCUAUGUAUUCUAAGCAUUUUUUAAUAUUCCAUAAAUCUGUAUCUAUUGCUUUGAAACACAAUAACUCUCUAUUCCGUACGUUAAUUAAUAAUUUAUUGUAAUAGACAAGACUAUCAAGUAGCGACUCUAAAAUUGUUUAAAAUAAUCAUUACUUCAGUAAAAUUGUAUACUGUCCAUCUAUAUACAUUCCAUUCGCACGUAUUUCUAUCGCCAGCCUAUUUAGCAUGUCGAUAUAACGUUAAGAGGAUUGUAGGGCCCUUUGUUACUACGUUCGUGUUUACGAAAUUUGACCUGAUUUUAGGUAAUAUUAUGCCUGUCUUGCUGACGUAUUCAUAUACCGGGUCUUGCUUAAAUUGUGAUAUUCCUUAAUGACAAACUAGCUUUAACCCUCUGAGUGCUGUGGGCGCAUAUAGGCGUCUGGCAAAAGCUAUCGGUGUGGACUAAGGACAUAUAUAUGCGUUUCCUGUAAGCGC
Long non-coding RNA from Bombus terrestris (buff-tailed bumblebee), 2778 nucleotides. RefSeq lists it as uncharacterized. Lineage: Eukaryota; Metazoa; Arthropoda; Insecta; Hymenoptera; Apidae. The record is from RefSeq and is a predicted model, not a curated record. The transcript has 3 exons.